RNAcentral lists this long non-coding RNA (1471 nucleotides) under Salmo salar (Atlantic salmon). RNAcentral's name for it is "lncRNA (ENSSSAG00000042433.2)". Lineage: Eukaryota; Metazoa; Chordata; Actinopteri; Salmoniformes; Salmonidae. The record is from RNAcentral.
CCCGGCGUCCCGCCUGGGCGAGCCGGCCGAGACAUGGGCGCUGGGCAAGCCGGCUGGGGUAAACUCCCCACAAACUGGCAGGGACGUAGGAGCCUGACGAUCUGGCUAAGGCAUGAACGUCUGUCGAUCUCGCUGCGCGUGGAAGCACGAAGAUCCGGUGGAGCAUGACGUGGGAUGGGAACCUGACGAGCCAACCGAGGCAAGGAAACCUCGAGCCAGCUAGGACGUGGAAGCCCGACGAGCUGGCUUGGGCACCCUCGGUUCCAUCGGUGGCGGAAUCCAAGCCCGACGUCACCAACAAAACAACAAAACUUCUGGGCCGGCUGGGCAAACAAGACCUGACGAUCCGGCUGAGGCCCGACUUGGGAUGGGCGCCUUCCGAGCCAACCGGGGAAAGGAAACCUCUCGAGCUGGCUAGGCACCCCCGGUUCCAUCGGCAGCGACCCAGGACCAAGGUCACCACCAACUGGAACGCCAGUACUCCCCGAUGCUUCGUGUGUUGGCUGCUGCAUUCUGUAAGGAAUGACGCUGGAGAAUAGAAGCAGGUACAGGGAGUUGACAUUUAAUUAGGAAUGGACAUGCAACAGGACAGGAACAGCGUCAGAACUGGGAAACACAAAGACAGACGACAAACAAUGCAGCAGUGGGGAACAGAGCUGGGGAACUGACAAAUAUAGGGGAGGUAAUAAACAGGAGAUUGAGUGAGUCCAGAAUUCUAAUGAUGACCCGCCUCAGUGUAGCCCUCCAUACUACAGUGCCAGUAUCUAUUCCACGCUGAGGGAGUGGGGAUACUGACUGUCAACUGUGAGAUGUGGACACGCCCCGACAGCCCCUCACCUACAGCAUUGUGGGAGGGAACACUAACCGCAGAUUUACCAUGGAUGGAGCACAGCUGGUGUCCAGUGCCCAGUUCUCCUAUGGCACCCCAUGGUUUAUGAGCUGCUGGUCAGGGUUCAGGACCAUGGCAUGUCUGUAUGCUCCACUACUGCUACUGUCAUUGCCAAUGUGGUUCCCUGGACCACAACUCGACCAACAUCCAUCACCACCACCACGAUCAAGAGCCUUUGGUAGGACCCCAUCCUUGAAACAUCCUGCAGAGCAGCAGUCUUCUCCUCUGGCACACGACGGCGAGCUGCAGAUCCCUUCCUGGUCCUCGUGUCCAUUCUUAUGAAGUUAUGAGGGACACAGGUAGCCUUCACACCCCUGAAUUCCUCCAGGAGGCAGUCCCAGGUGGCCCUGGUCACCCAACCUUGCAGUGCCCUACACGUUAACAGUGGGCAAUCGUUUUGAAGGAAUCUCCAAUUACAAGCAGGUCAGCCACCAGGGGGAGACUCGUCGAGGCCUGGUGACAGACGGUGUAUACAUCACGAGGCGAUGGCUCCAUCUGCUGGACGUGCCAGGUCUCGACGGGUUCUCCGGCCAGGACUAAUUGGGGCUGAUUGGGAGUUGGAUACAGCAAGACCCGGAGCCC